GAUCAUGGCUCAGGAUGAACGCUAGCUACAGGCUUAACACAUGCAAGUCGAGGGGCAGCAUGGUCUUAGCUUGCUAAGGCCGAUGGCGACCGGCGCACGGGUGAGUAACGCGUAUCCAACCUGCCUUACACUCUUGGACAGCCUUCUGAAAGGGAGAUUAAUACAAGAUGUUAUCAUGAGUAAGCAUUUUCGCAUGAUUAAAGGUUACGCGGUAG
This 215-nucleotide ribosomal RNA is filed under the name uncultured bacterium. Its description in RNAcentral is "partial 16S ribosomal RNA". It matches the Rfam family "Bacterial small subunit ribosomal RNA", at positions 15 to 213 of the family's 1533-position model. The record is from RNAcentral.